AGUGAACGCUGGCGGUAGGCCUAACACAUGCAAGUCGAACGGCAGCACAGUAAGAGCUUGCUCUUACGGGUGGCGAGUGGCGGACGGGUGAGGAAUACAUCGGAAUCUACUUUUUCGUGGGGGAUAACGUAGGUAAACUUACGCUAAUACCGCAUACGACCUACGGGUGAAAGCAGGGGAUCUUCGGACCUUGCGCGAUUGAAUGAGCCGAUGUCGGAUUAGCUAGUUGGCGGGGUAAAGGCCCACCAAGGCGACGAUCCGUAGCUGGUCUGAGAGGAUGAUCAGCCACACUGGAACUGAGACACGGUCAAGACUCCUACGGGAGGCAGCAGUGGGGAAUAUUGGACAAUGGGCGCAAGCCUGAUCCAGCCAUACCGCGUGGGUGAAGAAGGCCUUCGGGUUGUAAAGCCCUUUUGUUGGGAAAGAAAAGCAGCAGGUUAAUACCCAGCUGUUCUGACGGUACCCAAAGAAUAAGCACCGGCUAACUUCGUG
This 492-nucleotide ribosomal RNA is filed under the name uncultured bacterium. RNAcentral describes it as "partial 16S ribosomal RNA". It matches the Rfam family "Bacterial small subunit ribosomal RNA", at positions 29 to 507 of the family's 1533-position model. The record is from RNAcentral.